CAGAGCCUUACCUGAAAGUCAUACAAAGCCACGAUGUUUUCAUGUUUCAAUUCCUAGGACAGAAACCCAAGUUUCUUAUGAUCAAGGCAGGCUCACCCCAGCACCCUCUCCCCCUACCACUCCAACACCCGCUCACCUUGAGAAUUUUGAUUUCCUUCCCCAACAGUGUCUGGGACUUGGCCAGAUUCUUCUUGUUGAUGCACUUGACUGCGACCUCCAGGUCGUGCUUCUGAAAACCAAGCGUGAACAUUCCUCAGGGGCCAGAAAUCCCGGAACCAUAGAAGGCCACCCCCAGGCCAGGUAAGUGCCUGGGGGGGUUCCGAUGCCGGAAGAGAGCCCCAGGUGUGGAAUCGGAACGAAGUGUCCGGGAGAUGUAAAGACAAGAAAAUUGAGGCCCAGGGAAAUUAGAUGACGUGUCCAAAGUCACUAAGCAAGCAGAGCAAAGAGCCAGAUUCUCACACAGGAAAUUGUUAACAGUGGCUGCUUCAGGAAGACUCAAAGUGAAGAGGGAGCAUAAGGCAGACAGAAAACGACCUGCCCUUGACAACAGCCAGCCCUCCGGUUACCUGUGAAUCUUCUUUAGCGUAUGGAAAUCCCUUUAAGAAACUUCCCCUUGACUUUACCUCCCCCAGCUUCAUAGUGUGUCACCCCUCACAAGCCCAGGGCAGCUCUUUCUGACCUUGGGUCCUGU
Molecule: long non-coding RNA, 691 nt
Organism: Suricata suricatta (meerkat)
Lineage: Eukaryota; Metazoa; Chordata; Mammalia; Carnivora; Herpestidae
Exons: 3
Source: RefSeq, a predicted model, not a curated record